Molecule: long non-coding RNA, 534 nt
Filed under: Trifolium pratense (red clover)
Lineage: Eukaryota; Viridiplantae; Streptophyta; Magnoliopsida; Fabales; Fabaceae
Description: long non-coding RNA (TPRA_LNC010712)
Source: RNAcentral
UUGGAGCCAGUGGCAGACUGAGGUUAACUACUUUCCAUUUAAUUCAGCUUUGGGAUCUGUCAUGUGUUUACUUGUUGUGGUCCUGCUAGUCUUGGUGAUUUUGUGUUUGUGCAUGAGGAAGAUUAGAGCUGAAGCAUAUAAGAUUCUAAAGUAUAUCUUUUCUCCCUCCCCUUGAAUGAGGAAUUCUACACUGAAUUUUACUUAAGCUGCUUUGGUGCUUUAUUUGAUCUGUCUGUGGUAUAGGUGAGGGGCCUAAAUUUUGUACCGUUUCACAUAGAGGACCAGAAUCUACAAUUGGCUGUGACUUGUGACACAUGUUCGCAUUAUUGUUAUGCUUUCAUUUGGUGAUCUCCAAUUGGUGGUGACUUCUACUGUGUGGUAGUUCUUCAUAGCAUGGCUCCUCGAGAUUUGAUUAUUCUAUCUCUAUUUUAUUCUAUCUUUCUCAUGAUUGUAUAUUAUAUCUCAUUGGUGGUUUUGGUUGCUUUUUUGUUUCCGAUGUUUUCUGUUCUUGAUUUCUUAAACCUAAUAAGCUGC